CCUACGGGUGGCAGCAGUGAGGAAUAUUGGUCAAUGGCCGGAAGGCUGAACCAGCCAUGCCGCGUGAAGGUCAGUGCCCUAUGGGCGUUAAACUUCUUUUGUGCGGGAGCAAUAAUGGUCACGUGUGGCCAGACGAGAGUACCGUACGAAUAAGCAUCGGCUAACUCCGUGCCAGCAGCCGCGGUAAUACGGGGGAUGCAAGCGUUAUCCGGAGUUAUUGGGGUUAAAGGGUGCGUAGGCUGUGAGGUAAGUCAGCGGUGAAAUGCCCCCGCUCAACGGGGUGAAGUGCCAUUGAUACUGCCUUGCUGGAAUGCGGAGGCCGUGGGAGGAAUGUGUGGUGUAGCGGUGAAAUGCAUAGAUAUCACACAGAACACCGAUUGCGAAGGCAUCUCACGGAUCCGCGAUUGACGCUGAUGCACGAAAGCGUGGGUAUCAAACAGGAUUAGAUACCCGGGUAGUC
This 460-nucleotide ribosomal RNA is filed under the name uncultured bacterium. RNAcentral's name for it is "partial 16S ribosomal RNA". It matches the Rfam family "Bacterial small subunit ribosomal RNA", at positions 338 to 795 of the family's 1533-position model. The record is from RNAcentral.